UAUCACAUACAAUCUUAACAGCCAGUCUCCAGGAGUGCGGCAGCAGAUUUGUUCUCUUCUUAAAAAGUUGUUUUGUAGGAUACAGGAAAGUUCCCAAGUACUUUACAAAUUGCAGCAAAGUAAAUCCAAACAUGAACCAGAGAAUGAGUUAGCCAAAGAAGAGCCUUCUGUUUCCUU
Molecule: long non-coding RNA, 177 nt
Filed under: Ictidomys tridecemlineatus (thirteen-lined ground squirrel)
Lineage: Eukaryota; Metazoa; Chordata; Mammalia; Rodentia; Sciuridae
Description: lncRNA (ENSSTOG00000031751.1)
Source: RNAcentral